UGGGGAAUAUUGCACAAUGGGCGCAAGCCUGAUGCAGCCAUGCCGCGUGUAUGAAGAAGGCCUUCGGGUUGUAAAGUACUUUCAGCGGGGAGGAAGGGAGUAAAGUUAAUACCUUUGCUCAUUGACGUUACCCGCAGAAGAAGCACCGGCUAACUCCGUGCCAGCAGCCGCGGUCAUACGGAGGGUGCAAGCGUUAAUCGGAAUUACUGGGCGUAAAGCGCACGCAGGCGGUUUGUUAAGUCAGAUGUGAAAUCCCCGGGCUCAACCUGGGAACUGCAUCUGAUACUGGCAAGCUUGAGUCUCGUAGAGGGGGGUAGAAUUCCAGGUGUAGCGGUGAAAUGCGUAGAGAUCUGGAGGAAUACCGGUGGCGAAGGCGGCCCCCUGGACGAAGACUGACGCUCAGGUGCGAAAGCGUGGGGAGCAAACA
This 427-nucleotide ribosomal RNA is filed under the name uncultured bacterium. RNAcentral describes it as "partial 16S ribosomal RNA". It matches the Rfam family "Bacterial small subunit ribosomal RNA", at positions 355 to 774 of the family's 1533-position model. The record is from RNAcentral.